This 477-nucleotide long non-coding RNA is filed under the name Callithrix jacchus (white-tufted-ear marmoset). RNAcentral describes it as "lncRNA (ENSCJAG00000081666.1)". The record is from RNAcentral. Lineage: Eukaryota; Metazoa; Chordata; Mammalia; Primates; Cebidae.
UCAGCCUGGGUCCCUGAGAUAAUGUGGAGCAGAGCCCUCUCAGUUCCACAUUGCCCACAUCAUGAAAAAUAAACCUUUGUGUGGUUUUUUGUACAUGGAUGGAAAAAAAGACAACUGAGGACACUGAACAACAUUUCGUGUCAUACUCCACCUUUGAGGCUCAGUAAAAUGUUGAAAGUGGAGCAUUGUGGGCAGACUAGUGCCACCUGGUUGUGAGUCCCGUGUGGUCAGGACUGGAUCUAAUGAAAAUACUUUAAUGGGGAUGAAUAAACAGAGGAGCAUAAAGUUAUGCAUGUACAUUGAAUAAAGUAUAUUUUCAUCCAUAAAAUACAAGUUUAGCUUAGAUUGUUGUAUUAUCUCUCAUUGCAUAACAAAUUAACUCCAAAAGUUGGCUGCUCACAACUGACCACAUUUCUGAGUGUUGGGAAUGCAAUAACUGGUUCAGGAUCCCUUAAAGGUCAUGUCAGCUCUCGGUGG